Molecule: ribosomal RNA, 543 nt
Filed under: uncultured bacterium
Lineage: Bacteria
Description: bacterial SSU rRNA
Rfam family: Bacterial small subunit ribosomal RNA
Source: RNAcentral
UGAGGAAUAUUGGUCAAUGGGAGCAAUCCUGAACCAGCAAUGCCGCGUGUGGGAUGACGGGGCUCAGCCCUGUAAACCACUGUCGGACGGACGAAAGGAGCCUUCAGGGCCUCUGGGACGGUACCGUCAAAGGAAGGGUCGGCUAACUACGUGCCAGCAGCCGCGGUAAUACGUAGGACCCGAGCGUUGUCCGGAAUUACUGGGUAUAAAGGGUGCGCAGGCGGCCGUGUGCGUCAGAGGUGAAAUCUCCGGGCUUAACCCGGAGGGUGCCUUUGAUACGGCAUGGCUUGAGUCCGAGAGAGGGUGAUGGAAUUCCUGGUGUAGCAGUGAAAUGCGUAGAUAUCAGGAGGAACACCCGGUGGCGAAGGCGGUCACCUGGCUCGGCACUGACGCUUAGGCACGAAAGCGUGGGGAUCAAACCAGGAUUAGAUACCCUGGUAGUCCACGCCCUAAACGAUGUAUGCUUGGUGUUGGAUCAGCAAUGAUUCAGUGCCGAAGGGAAUCUGUUAAGCAUACCACCUGGGGAGUACGAUCGCAAGGUUG